GAUGAACGCUGGCGGCGUGCCUAAUACAUGCAAGUCGAGCGAACGGACGAGAAGCUUGCUUCUCUGAUGUUAGCGGCGGACGGGUGAGUAACACGUGGAUAACCUACCUAUCAGACUGGUAUAACUUCGGGACACCGGAGCUAAUACCGGAUAAUAUUUUGAACCGCAUGGUUCAAAAGUGAAAGACGGUCUUGCUGUCACUUAUAGAUGGAUCCGCGCUGCAUUAGCUAGUUGGUAAGGUAACGGCUUACCAAGGCAACGAUGCAUAGCCGACCUGAGAGGGUGAUCGGCCACACUGGAACUGAGACACGGUCAAGACUCCUAAGGGAGGCAGCAGUAGGGAAUCUUCCGCAAUGGGCGAAAGCCUGACGGAGCAACGCCGCGUGAGUGAUGAAGGUCUUCGGAUCGUAAAACUCUGUUAUUAGGGAAGAACAUAUGUGUAAGUAACUGUGCACAUCUUGACGGUACCUAAUCAGAAAGCCACGGCUAACUACGUG
Molecule: ribosomal RNA, 497 nt
Filed under: uncultured bacterium
Lineage: Bacteria
Description: partial 16S ribosomal RNA
Rfam family: Bacterial small subunit ribosomal RNA
Source: RNAcentral